GCCUGGGUGGCUCAGUCAGUUGAGCAUCUGACUUCGGCUCAGUUCAUGAUCUCGUGGUUUGUGGGUUUGAGCCCUGCAUCAGGCU
This 85-nucleotide transfer RNA is filed under the name Felis catus (domestic cat). It matches the Rfam family "tRNA". From Rfam's summary of the family: Transfer RNA (tRNA) molecules are approximately 80 nucleotides in length. Lineage: Eukaryota; Metazoa; Chordata; Mammalia; Carnivora; Felidae. The record is from Rfam by way of RNAcentral. RNAcentral also lists the same sequence under 1 other name.